Molecule: non-coding RNA, 861 nt
Organism: Pelobates cultripes (western spadefoot toad)
Lineage: Eukaryota; Metazoa; Chordata; Amphibia; Anura; Pelobatidae
Source: the annotation of a GenBank genome assembly
CUUUGGUUUCUGUGCUAAGAUGGGCGUACAUUAGGGUUAUCAUGCCCUUGGGGGUCCUUUCGUGAAGGCAUAGUUUCUCGUAGAACGUCAUAUUUCCCUGAGCUGCAGCCUUUAUGUGUGGUUUCCUAGCGAAGUCUCGAAUUUGUAUAUAUCUAAAGAAAUCUGCGGGAGUUAGGUGGUUAUCUUGUUGGAGGUCCGUAAAUUGGAUUAAGUUCCCAUUAUGAUAUAAUUGAUGGAUCCGUUGUAGACCCGUUCUCUCCAAGUUUCGGAAAUCUUUAGGGGCCAUACCGGGUUGGAACUCUCUAUUUCUUAGAAUUGGAGUCAAUGGAGAGGGGGAGGUCGCCAGUCCGUACUUGGUUCUGUUUUUGUCCCAGAUUUGGAGCGAAUUAAGUAUGGACGGGCAAGUCACCCGUAUCAAGGGUCGAUAGUCUUUCGGGAUCCACAUAGUGAACUGGGGGAUGUCCCAUCCCACCAUCAUGGAUUCUAUUUCGACCCAUCUCCGCUCUUCCGGAGGGGAAUGCCACAUAGCUAUCUGUGUUAGUUGGGCUGCAAGAUAAUAGAAGUAUAGAUUUGGGAGGCCCAGUCCCCCUCUUUCUUUUCGUCUGUAGAGUAUCUGUCUUGAUAUCCUGUGCCUCUUGUUCUGCCAUAUGAAGUCAGCUAUCGACCGUUGAAGUGGGUUCAGUUGUGCUUUGGUGACAUGAAUUGGGAGAGCUUGGAAUAAGAAUAAAAUCCUCGGGAGGACGUUCAUUUUAACAGAGUUAAUUCGUCCUAUCCAGGAGAUAGGUUUAUCAGACCACCUUUCUAAGUCUCCUAUCAACUUCCUAAUUAGGGGGCCAUAGUUCUCGGAGUAGAGGUGUGUCG